This is a long non-coding RNA of Ornithodoros turicata, 613 nucleotides long. RefSeq lists it as uncharacterized. The record is from RefSeq and is a predicted model, not a curated record. The transcript is spliced from 2 exons. Lineage: Eukaryota; Metazoa; Arthropoda; Arachnida; Ixodida; Argasidae.
AGCGAAUCCUCCACCACCACCACCACCGUGCUCGAAGCGCAUGCGCGAGACGUGAAGGGCGACGAGACCAAAACCGAAACGUCCGACGGCAGACGUGGUGGCGCUGCGAGCGCGCGAGACGUGAAGGGCGACGAAACCAAAACCGAAACGUCCGACGGCAGACGUGGUGGCGCUGCGAGCGCGCGAGACGUGAAGGGCGACGAGACCAAAACCGAAACAUCCGACGGCAGACGUGGUUGCGCUGCGAGCGCGCGCACGCGUGUGUGACGUAUGCUCCGCGGAGAGGGCGCCAGAUUCAGUUUUCUGUUUGCCUCUCGUCGGGUGCGGACGUCUGGCGCGUCGCUCGUAUCGUGACCGUUGAUGUGCUGGUGAACUCUUUAGUCAUGUAAAGAAGAUGGAGGGCGGUGUGUGUGCACACAGAUAUGCUUGGAUGUCGUCCCCAUGAUGACAGCGGUGCUGCCACCUGACGUGAUGCUUUCCGACCUGCCUGGUGUGACGCUUUGCAAAUGGCGGCGCCCAUGGGCUGAUGCUGUUACCGAACCUGGACUGACACAUUAAUGAAUUGAAUGUGUAUAGUAAUGACUUGAAUUAUUAAAUGAGUUUAGAAAGUGCA